UCCUUAUUUUAAGAAGGAAAAUAGUGAAAGACGAUUAGGAUUAUUUAUUUAACGCAACUAACAUUUGGGAAUGUUGAGAAAACGCAAAAUAAUGAAAUCGUGGGUGCCGCCUCUGGCAUUCGUGAUUUUGUAACUUCGGAUCGGGCAGUUAUAUAAAAUAAGCGAUUGAGCUACGAAGAGUGAAAUCGCAGGUGCGGAAUGCGAAUGUGCUCUUCCAUACUGCGCAUUUUAGAUUAUGGAUCCUUCGCUCGUUAGUCAUUACGUACUAUUUAUUAUUCGCACGCUUUGAAGGCCGUACCAACGUUUAUAUUCGUCAUAUUGCAUCCGGAAACUGAUGUUCUUAUAUUCAGGUAAACAAAAUUUCACGCUGGAGCAGCGUUAAACGAUUUGAGAAAAGCAAAACUGUCCGUGUGAUUUUCGCAUUGGUGAAUAUUAAAUACAUAUUUAACACUAUAUUUUGACUGGAAGUUCAUUAAAGCUAAUUAAUGCACGAUAUUCGUAUGAUAAUAAAGGAAGUAUGUGUUACAUUCUUAUGAGAGGACAAAGUAGGUUGUUACAUAAAGUAUUCGCACAUAAAAGUGUGAAGAACUUUUGCAUAAAACGAAAAGAAACCAAUCAAAUUUGUUACGUCAGAAAUACAAUCUUUGUCAACGUAGACGUAAUACGAUCUAAUCUAACAUAGCAUGCUUCACUUGACUGUGAGAAGCAAUUAUCAUUUCUUAUACGAUGUGAGUAAGACAAUUGCAUAAAUGGUGGGAAACGUGCCCACGGGAUUACACAGACGUAAACAAUUGCACAGAUUCUUCACAUGAAGAAGCAAUCGUUUAGUGUCAUGCAACUAUGACAUAAUACGUGAUCCAAAUAUACAUUUUCUCUACUUUGAAUACUUAAAAAUAUACAAAUGUUAUUAUACAUAAUACGUGUAAAGUG
Vollenhovia emeryi is the source of this 930-nucleotide long non-coding RNA. RefSeq lists it as uncharacterized. Lineage: Eukaryota; Metazoa; Arthropoda; Insecta; Hymenoptera; Formicidae. The record is from RefSeq and is a predicted model, not a curated record. The transcript has 3 exons.